RNAcentral lists this ribosomal RNA (513 nucleotides) under uncultured bacterium. Its description in RNAcentral is "partial 16S ribosomal RNA". It matches the Rfam family "Bacterial small subunit ribosomal RNA", at positions 28 to 523 of the family's 1533-position model. The record is from RNAcentral.
GAUGAACGCUGGCGGCGUGCCUAAUACAUGCAAGUCGAGCGAACGGAUAAGGAGCUUGCUCCUUUGAAGUUAGCGGCGGACGGGAGAGUAACACGUGGGUAACUUACCUAUAAGACUAGAAUAACUUCGGGAAACCGGAGCUAAUGCCGGAUAACAUUUGGAACUGCAUGGUUCUAAAGUAAAAGAUGGUUUUGCUAUCACUUAUAGAUGGACCCGCGCCGUAUUAGCUAGUUGGUAAGGUAACGGCUUACCAAGGCAACGAUACGUAGCCGACCUGAGAGGGUGAUCGGCCACACUGGAACUGAGACACGGUCCAGACUCCUACGGGAGGCAGCAGUAGGGAAUCUUCCGCAAUGGACGAAAGUCUGACGGAGCAACGCCGCGUGAGUGAUGAAGGUUUUCGGAUCGUAAAACUCUGUUAUUAGGGAAGAACAAAUGUGUAAGUAACUGUGCACAUCUUGACGGUACCUAAUCAGAAAGCCACGGCUAACUACGUGCCAGCAGCCGCAGUAA